GAUGAACGCUGGCGGCGUGCCUAAUACAUGCAAGUCGAGCGAACAGAUGAGGAGCUUGCUCCUCUGACGUUAGCGGCGGACGGGUGAGUAACACGUGGAUAACCUACCUAUAAGACUGGGAUAACUUCGGGAAACCGGAGCUAAUACCGGAUAAUAUAUUGAACCGCAUGGUUCAAUAGUGAAAGACGGUUUUGCUGUCACUUAUAGAUGGAUCCGCGCCGCAUUAGCUAGUUGGUAAGGUAACGGCUUACCAAGGCAACGAUGCGUAGCCGACCUGAGAGGGUGAUCGGCCACACUGGAACUGAGACACGGUCCAGACUCCUACGGGAGGCAGCAGUAGGGAAUCUUCCGUAAUGGGCGAAAGCCUGACGGAGCAACGCCGCGUGAGUGAUGAAGGGCUUCGGAUCGUAAAACUCUGUUAUUAGGGAAGAACAAAUGUGUAAGUAACUAUGCACGUCUUGACGGUACCUAAUCAGAAAGCCACGGCUAACUACGUGC
RNAcentral lists this ribosomal RNA (498 nucleotides) under uncultured bacterium. RNAcentral describes it as "partial 16S ribosomal RNA". It matches the Rfam family "Bacterial small subunit ribosomal RNA", at positions 28 to 508 of the family's 1533-position model. The record is from RNAcentral.